AGUGAACGCUGGCGGUAGGCCUAACACAUGCAAGUCGAACGGCAGCACAGUAAGAGCUUGCUCUUACGGGUGGCGAGUGGCGGACGGGUGAGGAAUACAUCGGAAUCUACUUUUUCGUGGGGGAUAACGUAGGGAAACUUACGCUAAUACCGCAUACGACCUACGGGUGAAAGCAGGGGAUCUUCGGACCUUGCGCGAUUGAAUGAGCCGAUGUCGGAUUAGCUAGUUGGCGGGGUAAAGGCCCACCAAGGCGACGAUCCGUAGCUGGUCUGAGAGGAUGAUCAGCCCAACUGGAACUGAGACACGGUCCAGACUCCUACGGGAGGCAGCAGUGGGGAAUAUUGGACAAUGGGCGCAAGCCUGAUCCAGCCAUACCGCGUGGGUGAAGAAGGCCUUCGGGUUGUAAAGCCCUUUUGUUGGGAAAGGAAAGCAGCAGGUUAAUACCCCGCUGUUCUGACGGUACCCAAAGAAUAAGCACCGGCUAACUUCGUG
Molecule: ribosomal RNA, 492 nt
Filed under: uncultured bacterium
Lineage: Bacteria
Description: partial 16S ribosomal RNA
Rfam family: Bacterial small subunit ribosomal RNA
Source: RNAcentral